Molecule: non-coding RNA, 502 nt
Filed under: Agaricus bisporus var. burnettii JB137-S8
Lineage: Eukaryota; Fungi; Basidiomycota; Agaricomycetes; Agaricales; Agaricaceae
Description: Eukaryotic small subunit ribosomal RNA
Rfam family: Eukaryotic small subunit ribosomal RNA
Source: Rfam by way of RNAcentral
AAAAGCCCGUAGUUGAACUUCAGGCCUGGUGGGGUGGUCCGCUUAACGGCGUGUACUGCUCUGCUGGGUCUUACCUCUUGGUGAGCCGGCGUGGCCUUCACUGGUUGCGUCGGGGAACCAGGACUUUUACCUUGAGAAAAUUAGAGUGUUCAAAGCAGGCCUAUGCCUGAAUACAUUAGCAUGGAAUAAUAAAAUAGGACGUGCGGUUCUAUUUUGUUGGUUUCUAGAGUCGCCGUAAUGAUUAAUAGGGAUAGUUGGGGGCAUUGGUAUUGAGUCGCUAGAGGUGAAAUUCUUGGAUUGACUCAAGACCGACUACUGCGAAAGCAUUUGCCAAGGAUGUUUUCAUUAAUCAAGGACGAAGGUUAGGGGAUCGAAAACGAUCAGAUACCGUUGUAGUCUUAACAGUAAACUAUGCCGACUAGGGAUCGGGCGACCUCAAAUUUGAUGUGUCGCUCGGCACCUUACGAGAAAUCAAAGUUUUUGGGUUCUGGGGGGAGGUAUU